GUUUUAGCUCAGUGGUAGAGCACUUGCCUAGCAUGUGUGAGGCAUUGGGUUCGAUUCUCAGCAUACA
RNAcentral lists this transfer RNA (67 nucleotides) under Marmota monax (woodchuck). Its description in RNAcentral is "tRNA.Ala". Lineage: Eukaryota; Metazoa; Chordata; Mammalia; Rodentia; Sciuridae. The record is from RNAcentral.